This 301-nucleotide ribosomal RNA is filed under the name uncultured bacterium. RNAcentral's name for it is "partial 16S ribosomal RNA". It matches the Rfam family "Bacterial small subunit ribosomal RNA", at positions 509 to 807 of the family's 1533-position model. The record is from RNAcentral.
CAGUCGCCACGGGAAUACAGAGGGUGCAAGCGUUAAUCGGAAUUACUGGGCGUAAAGCGCGCGUAGGUGGUUCGCCAAGUUGGAUGUGAAAUCCCCGGGCUCAACCUGGGAACUGCAUCCAAAACUGGCGAGCUAGAGUAUGGUAGAGGGUGGUGGAAUUUCCUGUGUAGCGGUGAAAUGCGUAGAUAUAGGAGGGAACAUCAGUGGCGAAGGCGACCACCUGGACUGAUACUGACACUGAGGUGCGAAAGCGUGGGGAGCAAACAGGAUUAGAUACCCGUGUAGUCCCUGUCUCUUAUAC